This 229-nucleotide ribosomal RNA is filed under the name uncultured bacterium. RNAcentral's name for it is "partial 16S ribosomal RNA". It matches the Rfam family "Bacterial small subunit ribosomal RNA", at positions 568 to 796 of the family's 1533-position model. The record is from RNAcentral.
UGCGCAGGUGGGCUUGUAAGUCAGUGGUGAAAUACUGCCGCUUAACGGUAGAACUGCCAUUGAUACUGCAAGUCUUGAGUAUGGUUGAGGUGGGCGGAAUGUGUUGUGUAGCGGUGAAAUGCAUAGAUAUGACACAGAACUCCAAUUGCGAAGGCAGCUUACUAAGCCAUUACUGACGCUGAGGCACGAAAGCGUGGGGAGCGAACAGGAUUAGAUACCCUGGUAGUCC